Long non-coding RNA from Hemicordylus capensis (graceful crag lizard), 1488 nucleotides. RefSeq lists it as uncharacterized. NCBI's taxonomy places the organism in Eukaryota, Metazoa, Chordata, Lepidosauria, Squamata, Cordylidae. The record is from RefSeq and is a predicted model, not a curated record. The transcript has 3 exons.
UAUGGUACUUAGAUGCCUGCCAUGGAGGCCUUUAAGCUUGCGUAGAUGGUGCCCUGUGGAGUCAUAGUGGGUGCAGCAACUCAAUUCAUGCUGUGUAGACUUGUGAGCUGCAAGCAGCUUCUCAGUUCAAAUCAGGUAAGCGGCCCUGAGAGGACAAUGCAUGCUUUGCAUGACCCAGCAAGUAUGGAGAUCUCUAAGCCUUUGCAUGCACUGAUGACACCACUGGUGUGCCAGGGACCAGAGACUUUGGGUAAGAUUAGUACAUGACCUGACAGAUGCUAGUAAGUGCCCUGUUUUGUCGCGAAUCCACCAAGCUUUCAAAUUCCAUGGAAUAUUCUCCAGAUUUAUCUUGGAUGGGCUCACUCAUCUCCAAUUUCAUCUUGACAUCUUAACUUUUUCUGUGGUUUCCUUUCUUCCUAAUUGUUCAAACAUAUUGAUAAAAAGCUAGAAAGUUGCUUUAAUGUAUAUUGUUCCAAGAACUUUAAAUUCCAGGAAUCAUCUCAUACUCAGCCAAAUUAUUUGUGCAGUGUGGAAUUGAAGAAAAAAAAAAUCAUGCAAGCAGCUAAGACUGAAUGAAGCGGCUUCUGUGUGCAGCCGAUCUUGAGGGAUCCUGAUUUGAAACCUCUGGGCUAAUGGAAGUACCACAUGUCUUGGCUGGAGUUAGCAGGUGUAUGCUUGGCUGGUGUGGCCAGGAAGCAGAACUGAGGACCCAAACAGGGGGAACCGAAGGUGAAAGCACUGAAGGUGGCUAGGGAAACAGAAUGGAAAUACGGAACUGUAACUAAGGAAGCACCCCUGUGGAUGAUCAGAGAGUGGCUGUGUGCAGUCUUCAUUGCUCGUUCAAAUAUGAAGAUCUUGAGAGAGCUGCAGGUACAGAGAAUCUACAUGCACAGCCCUUAACACAAUAUUUAGGACACAACAUUAUUCGAAAUGAUGACCAUGAUUUCACAGCAAACCAACCAACAAGCAAACAGUGAACCAGGCAAAGAGAACAGAAAGGCACAGGAAUAGAACUGCCUGCAUACAACAUCCAAAAUGUCUUGUGGUUAGUGCAAGAUUUCUGUCUGUACCGUUUUUGUUUUUUGUAAUGCUCUAUCCAGGGAUUACACCACUCCAAGUUCCAACUCAACUCAAGUUUAGUUUCAAAGUAACAUGAAUUUGAUUUUUAGCAAACUAAGGUUAAAGAAAAACAGGUUAACUGUGCACAAGUAAUCAUGCACUAGAGUUGUCAACCAUUUUCCUGUUCAACAGCUUCUGCAUCAAAGUUAAAUGCCUAGCUGUUUUUUAAAAAAUCUGAGAGGUAUAUAGGUAUAAAGACCUGGAGUAGGGAAGUCAGCAUGUAGGUUGAUGAAAGGAAAAAAACCAACUGAAAAACUACGUGAACACACCCACACUUUGGACCAUGGACAAUUUCUGCUUUUUAAAAGUGAAAAUGAUUUUUGACAACCUUGUUCUUUUGUAUUGUGACAAUAUCCAAAUAAAUUUUUA